CACGUAGUUAGCCGUGGCCUAUUCAUUCGGUACCGUCACUUUCUUCGUCCCGAAUAAAAGAAGUUUACAACCCGAAAGCCUUCUUCCUUCACGCGGCGUUGCUGGGUCAGGCUUGCGCCCAUUGCCCAAUAUUCCCCACUGCUGCCUCCCGUAGGAGUCUGGGCCGUGUCUCAGUCCCAAUGUGGCCGGCCAACCUCUCAGUCCGGCUACUGAUCGUCGCCUUGGUGGGCCAUUACCCCGCCAACUAGCUAAUCAGACGCGAGCUCAUCUCAGAGCGAUAAAUCUUUGGCAUCCAAACCAUGCGACUCAGAUGCAUCAUGCGGUAUUAGCGGCUGUUUCCAGCCGUUAUUCCCCACUCCAAGGCAGAUUGCUCACGCGUUACUCACCCGUCCGCCUACUUUCCUCAGCCUUCCCUCAGACGAAUCCUUGUUCCACUGAUUCUCGUUCGACUUGCUAUGUGUUAAGCUACGCCGCAGCGUUCAUCCUGACGCC
Molecule: ribosomal RNA, 492 nt
Filed under: uncultured Oscillospiraceae bacterium
Lineage: Bacteria; Bacillati; Bacillota; Clostridia; Eubacteriales; Oscillospiraceae
Description: partial 16S ribosomal RNA
Source: RNAcentral